GAUCAUGGCUCAGGAUGAACGCUAGCGACAGGCUAACACAUGCAAGUCGAGGGGCAUCACGGGAGUAGCAAUACAACUGGUGGCGACCGGCGCACGGGUGAGUAACGCGUAUGCAACCUACCUAUCAGAGGGGAAUAACCCGGCGAAAGUCGGACUAAUACCGCAUAAAACAGGGGCACCGCAUGGUGAUAUUUGUUAAAGAAAUUCGCUGAUAGAUGGGCAUGCGUUCCAUUAGGUAGUUGGUGAGGUAACGGCUCACCAAGCCGACGAUGGAUAGGGGAACUGAGAGGUUGGUCCCCCACACUGGUACUGAGACACGGACCAGACUCCUACGGGAGGCAGCAGUGAGGAAUAUUGGUCAAUGGGCGGGAGCCUGAACCAGCCAAGUCGCGUGAAGGAAGAAGGAUCUAUGGUUCGUAAACUUCUUUUGCAGGGGAAUAAAGUGCAGGACGUGUCCUGUUUUGUAUGUACCCUGAGAAUAAGGAUCGGCUAACUCCGUGCCAGCCGCCGC
This 511-nucleotide ribosomal RNA is filed under the name uncultured bacterium. Its description in RNAcentral is "bacterial SSU rRNA". It matches the Rfam family "Bacterial small subunit ribosomal RNA", at positions 15 to 518 of the family's 1533-position model. The record is from RNAcentral.